GACUGUUUAUUAAAACACAGCACUCUGCAAACACGAAAGUGGACGUAUAGGGUGUGACGCCUGCCCGGUGCUGGAAGAUUAAAUGAUGGGGUGCAAGCUCUUGACUGAAGUCCCAGUAAACGGCGGCCGUAACGAUAACGGUCCUAAGGUAGCGAAAUUCCUUGUCGGGUAAGUUCCGACCCGCACGAAUGGCGUAACGAUGGCCACACUGUCUCCUCCUGAGACUCAGCGAAGUUGAAAUGUUUGUGAAGAUGCAAUCUCCCCGCUGCUAGACGGAAAGACCCCGUGAACCUUUACUGUAGCUUUGCAUUGGACUUUGAACAGACUUGUGUAGGAUAGGUGGGAGGCUUUGAAGUGGGAACGCCAGUUCUCAUGGAGCCGUCCUUGAAAUACCACCCUGGUGUGUUUGAGGUUCUAACCUGGG
RNAcentral lists this ribosomal RNA (424 nucleotides) under uncultured bacterium. RNAcentral describes it as "bacterial LSU rRNA". It matches the Rfam family "Bacterial large subunit ribosomal RNA", at positions 1798 to 2231 of the family's 2925-position model. The record is from RNAcentral.